AGGAUAGUAGUUAAUUAUAACAUUUGAAUUGCACUCAAAAAGUAUUGAACUCUCAAUCUAUCUUG
Molecule: transfer RNA, 65 nt
Filed under: Geoscapheus dilatatus
Lineage: Eukaryota; Metazoa; Arthropoda; Insecta; Blattodea; Blaberidae
Description: tRNA-Ala
Source: RNAcentral